AUGGAGGGAACUCCUGUCCACCACGCCGGCGACAGGAACAUGGAAAACGCAGUCCACGGUGCCACCAAUGAACAAGAGAUGGUCAGCCCAAAGUCUAUGGUUAAUGCCAUUCUUGGUAACAUUGGUCUGCCUGAUGCAAAUCAAACAAGGACUACAAGAACUACAGUGGACGUGACUGCUUGGCCUCUCGUUUCGAUUAGCCUAUCAUUAAAGUUGGAAACACCAGAAUUGACGCUUGCGUAUGAGUGUGUACAGGCCGAGACAAGCAUUGUAAGGAUCCCAGUUAGAAUGAUGCUUGAUCUCCUGUUAGAGCAUCUUGGGCUUCACAAGGCCAUCUGA
Molecule: ribosomal RNA, 339 nt
Filed under: Triticum aestivum (bread wheat)
Lineage: Eukaryota; Viridiplantae; Streptophyta; Magnoliopsida; Poales; Poaceae
Description: partial small subunit ribosomal RNA
Source: RNAcentral